CUGCUUAUAAUCUCAAAACUUCAGAAGUCCAAGGUUCAGGCUCAGGUCUCUGUGGUUGCGCAGUGUGUCUUUUUACCAAAAGGAACACCUCAUGCACUUUACAAGGAGCUCCUUCAGGAAAGGAUGGCACCUCGUGUAGAGGAGAGAUCUCUGAUCCUCUGAUCUUUUCCAAAAGGAGAAAAGUAAAGGUUUGAAUGUAUUUUUAAUUCUUGGCAUUUCAGAACAGAAAUAAUCUGGUAUUAAGUUGCUAAAAGAUGCCUACAAGCUUUCAUAGGAGAAACAUCUAAU
RNAcentral lists this long non-coding RNA (288 nucleotides) under Homo sapiens (human). RNAcentral's name for it is "HSALNT0123911". Lineage: Eukaryota; Metazoa; Chordata; Mammalia; Primates; Hominidae. The record is from RNAcentral.